UACAGAGGGUGCAAGCGUUGUUCGGAAUUAUUGGGCGUAAAGGGCGCGUAGGCGGUGCGGUAAGUCUGUAGUGAAAUCUCUGGGCUCAACUCAUAGUCUGCAUCGGAAACUGCCGGGCUUGAGUAUGGGAGAGGUGAGUGGAAUUCCUGGUGUAGCGGUGAAAUGCGUAGAUAUCAGGAGGAACACCUGUGGCGAAAGCGGCUCACUGGACCAUAACUGACGCUGAUGCACGAAAGCUAGGGGAGCAAACAGG
RNAcentral lists this ribosomal RNA (253 nucleotides) under uncultured bacterium. Its description in RNAcentral is "partial 16S ribosomal RNA". It matches the Rfam family "Bacterial small subunit ribosomal RNA", at positions 524 to 776 of the family's 1533-position model. The record is from RNAcentral.